UGGGGAAUAUUGCACAAUGGGCGAAAGCCUGAUGCAGCGACGCCGCGUGAGGGAUGACGGCCUUCGGGUUGUAAACCUCUUUCAGCAGGGAAGAAGCGAAAGUGACGGUACCUGCAGAAGAAGCGCCGGCUAACUACGUGCCAGCAGCCGCGGUAAUACGUAGGGCGCAAGCGUUGUCCGGAAUUAUUGGGCGUAAAGAGCUCGUAGGCGGUUAGUCGCGUCUGCUGUGAAAACUCGAGGCUCAACCUCGGGCUUGCAGUGGGUACGGGCUGACUAGAGUGCGGUAGGGGUGACUGGAAUUCCUGGUGUAGCGGUGGAAUGCGCAGAUAUCAGGAGGAACACCGAUGGCGAAGGCAGGUCACUGGGCCGCAACUGACGCUGAGGAGCGAAAGCAUGGGGAGCGAACAGGAUUAGAUACCCUGGUAGUCCAUGCCGUAAACGUUGGGCACUAGGUGUGGGUCCAUUCCACGGAUUCCGUGCCGCAGC
RNAcentral lists this ribosomal RNA (486 nucleotides) under uncultured bacterium. RNAcentral's name for it is "partial 16S ribosomal RNA". It matches the Rfam family "Bacterial small subunit ribosomal RNA", at positions 355 to 852 of the family's 1533-position model. The record is from RNAcentral.